RNAcentral lists this ribosomal RNA (505 nucleotides) under uncultured bacterium. RNAcentral describes it as "bacterial SSU rRNA". It matches the Rfam family "Bacterial small subunit ribosomal RNA", at positions 65 to 543 of the family's 1533-position model. The record is from RNAcentral.
AGCGCUAUAUCUGGUGUAGCAAUACAUUAGAUGUGGAGCGGCGCAAGGGUGCGUAACACGUGGGUAAUUUACCGUGAAGUUGGGGAUAACUCGCUGAAAGGCGAGCUAAUACCGGAUGUGGUUUCGGAGUGGCAUCACUUUGCAACUAAAGCUGGGGAUCGUAAGACCUGGCGCUUCAUGAUAAGCCCGCGGCCUAUCAGCUAGUUGGUGAGGUAACGGCUCUCCAAGGCUAAGACGGGUAGCUGGUCUGAGAGGACGACCAGCCACACUGGAACUGAGACACGGUCCAGACACCUACGGGUGGCAGCAGUCGAGAAUUUUUCUCAAUGGGCGCAAGCCUGAAGGAGCGACGCCGCGUGGGGGAUGAAGGGUUUCGAUCCGUAAACCCCUGUCAUUUGUGAACAAUGGUUAUUAUUUAAAAGAUGAUGACUUGAUAGUAAUGAAAGAGGAAGGGACGGCUAACUCUGUGCCAGCAGCCGCGGUAAUACAGAGGUCCCGAGCGUUG